UACGUAGGGGGCGAGCGUUAUCCGAAGUUACUGGGCGUAAAGCGCGCGUAGGCGGGCUAUUAAGUCGGAUGUGAAAUCUCCACGGCUCACCCGGGAAAUUGCAUCCGAAACUGGCAGCCUUGAGGUAUGGAGAGGGAAGGGGAAUUCCAGGUGUAGCGGGGAAAUGCGUAAAUAUCUGGAGGAACACCCGUGGCGAAGGCGGCUUCCUGGCCAUAUCCUGACGCUGAGGUGCGAAAGCCAGGGGAGCGAACGGAAUUAAAUACCCCGGUAGUCCUGGCCGUAAACGAUGGAUACUAGGUGUUAGUGGUAUCGACCCCGCUAGUGCCGUAGCUAACGCAUUAAGUAUCCCGCCUGGGGAGUACGGCCGCAAGGUUGAAACUCAAAGGAAUUGACGGGGGCCCGCACAAGCGGGGGAGCACGUGGUUUAAUUCGUCACUAACCGAAAAACCUUACCAGGGUUUGACACGUAGGGAAGUCUGAUGAAAGUCGGAUGUGCCUAGCAAUAGGAGCCCUAACACAGGUGUUGCGUGGCCGUCGUCAGCUCGUGUCGUGAGAUGUUGGGUUAAGUCCCGCAACGAGCGCAACCCUCAUCCAAUGUUGCCAGCCAUAAGUCGGGACCUCUUUGGAAACUGCCCGUGUAAGCGGGAGGAAGGUGGGGAGGACGUCAAGUCGGCACGGCCCCUACACCCUCGGCUACACACACGCUACAAUGGACGUUAACAGAGGGAAGCAAGUCCCCGAGGUGGAGCAAACCCCAAAAAUACGUUCUCAGUUCGGAUCGCAGUUUGCAACUUGACUGCGUGAAGUCGGAAUCGCUAGUAACCGCAGGUCAGCUAUACUGCGGUGAAUACGUUCCCGGGCCU
Molecule: ribosomal RNA, 863 nt
Filed under: uncultured bacterium
Lineage: Bacteria
Description: bacterial SSU rRNA
Rfam family: Bacterial small subunit ribosomal RNA
Source: RNAcentral